UACGUAGGUGGCAAGCGUUGUCCGGAAUUAUUGGGCGUAAAGCGCGCGCAGGCGGCUACUUAAGUCUGGUGUGAAAGCCCACGGCUCAACCGCGGAAGGGCCUUGGAAACUGGGUGACUUGAGUGCAGAAGAGGAGAGCGGAAUUCCACGUGUAGCGGUGAAAUGCGUAGAGAUGUGGAGGAACACCAGUGGCGAAGGCGGCUCUCUGGUCUGUAACUGACGCUGAGGCGCGAAAGCGUGGGGAGCAAACAGG
Molecule: ribosomal RNA, 253 nt
Filed under: uncultured bacterium
Lineage: Bacteria
Description: partial 16S ribosomal RNA
Rfam family: Bacterial small subunit ribosomal RNA
Source: RNAcentral